This 494-nucleotide ribosomal RNA is filed under the name uncultured bacterium. RNAcentral describes it as "partial 16S ribosomal RNA". It matches the Rfam family "Bacterial small subunit ribosomal RNA", at positions 28 to 507 of the family's 1533-position model. The record is from RNAcentral.
GACGAACGCUGGCGGCGUGCUUAACACAUGCAAGUCGAACGGAAAGGCCUGCUUUCCCUUGUUGUUUGCUGGUACUCGAGUGGCGAACUGGUGAGUAACACGUGUGUCAUCUGCCCCCAACUUGGGUAUAAGCCUGGGAACUUGUGUCUAAUUCUCUAUAGGACUGCAUGGUUGUGCCUGUGGUGGAAAACUUUUUUCUAGUGGUUGGGGAUGAGCUCGCGGCCUAUCUGCUUGUUGGUGUGGUAAUUGCCUACCAAGACGGGGACGGGUAGCCGGAGUGGGAGGGGGGACAGUCAAAUUGAGACGGGGACAAGGCCCAGACGGCAAGGAGAGGCAGGAAUGGUGAAGAAAGGAGAAAGGGCGGAAGGCUGAAGCAGCGAGGCAGCGUGGAGGAUGACGGGAUUGGGGUAGUAAACUCCUAUCGAAGGAGAAAAAGGCACGUGGUUGGAAGGGUGGUGACGGUAGUGGUAGAAGAAGCACCGGCUAACUACGUG